RNAcentral lists this ribosomal RNA (301 nucleotides) under uncultured bacterium. RNAcentral's name for it is "partial 16S ribosomal RNA". It matches the Rfam family "Bacterial small subunit ribosomal RNA", at positions 512 to 810 of the family's 1533-position model. The record is from RNAcentral.
CAGCCGCCGGGUAAUACAGAGGGUGCGAGCGUUAAUCGGAUUUACUGGGCGUAAAGCGUGCGUAGGCGGCUAAUUAAGUCGGAUGUGAAAUCCCCGAGCUUAACUUGGGAAUUGCAUUCGAUACUGGUUAGCUAGAGUGUGGGAGAGGAUGGUAGAAUUCCAGGUGUAGCGGUGAAAUGCGUAGAGAUCUGGAGGAAUACCGAUGGCGAAGGCAGCCAUCUGGCCUAACACUGACGCUGAGGUACGAAAGCAUGGGGAGCAAACAGGAUUAGAUACCCCAGUAGUCCCUGUCUCUUAUACU